Molecule: non-coding RNA, 910 nt
Organism: Phoenix dactylifera (date palm)
Lineage: Eukaryota; Viridiplantae; Streptophyta; Magnoliopsida; Arecales; Arecaceae
Source: RefSeq, a predicted model, not a curated record
UAGGAAGCCGGAAACGACUACCGAGAGCCAUCUCGCUGCCGGCUCCGUCACCGCCACCACCAUGACCAUGUUCCGGAAGCUCGGCCGCCCCGCGGCCCACCGCGUCUCUAUGCUCAGGACGAUGGUCUCUCAGUUGGUGAAGCAUGAACGCAUCGAAACCACCGUCGCAAAGGCAAAAGAAGUUCGUCGUGUUGCAGACAACAUGGUGCAGCUGGGCAAAGAGGUUAUCAAAAUACUUUCUUUAAUGCUUUAAUAAUUAUUUUCACCCAUUAAAUUCUGCCAAGUUUGCAUUGCUAAUAUUAUCAGACACCAAAAAUACUUCGGAGGUUAGUGGUUGACAAGCCAAAUGUCUACUACAUUGUAACACUAAUAAUAUAUUCUAGCACUAAAAUUCUGCCGUGCUUGCAAUAAUGUAUCAGAAAGCAUAGCAAUGAGGACUGGAAUUCACUUACGUUACUGUUUGAUAGUGCAAUUGAUUUGGACAAAAUUUAUUUGCUUGAUACUUUAUCUUCAUUUGUUCUUGAGUGACUGACGUGUGUUUGAGUAAUUGUUCAGGCAAGCUUAUUACCCAUAUCUGGGAUGCAUGAAAACUUGUGAUAGCAUAUUGAGGGAUUCCUUGGGGUCCGAGACAUGUAAUAAGCACGGGAAUGAUGGAAAUAUUGGAUAAAAUGUCAUAUGCUGGAAGAGUAGAUUUCCUACAGUCUAUGGGAAUACCUCCAGAUAUCUGCUGCCAUAUGUGUGCAUGCAGGAUAUUAAGUGAACUGCCACUGUGUCAACCUUGUGCAUAGACUAGUUAUAGUUAAAUGACAAAUCACUGGGCAAUUGACAUGGAAAGUAAACCUGCAAGCCUCCUCCUAUGAACCACCUUAGUUUUUUUCUUUUUUCUUUUUGUUUUUUGAGCAACCCACGA